UGCGUAGGCGGUUCGUUAAGUCUGACGUGAAAUCCCCGGGCUCAACCUGGGACGUGCGUUGGAAACUGGCGAUCUAGAGUACGGUAGAGGGUGGUGGAAUUCCCGGUGUAGCAGUGAAAUGCGUAGAGAUCGGGAGGAACACUCGUGGCGAAGGCGGCCACCUGGACUGUAACUGACGUUGAGGCUCGAAAGCGUGGGGAGCAAACAGGAUUAGAUACCCCGGUA
This 225-nucleotide ribosomal RNA is filed under the name uncultured Silanimonas sp. Its description in RNAcentral is "partial 16S ribosomal RNA". It matches the Rfam family "Bacterial small subunit ribosomal RNA", at positions 568 to 792 of the family's 1533-position model. The record is from RNAcentral. Lineage: Bacteria; Pseudomonadati; Pseudomonadota; Gammaproteobacteria; Lysobacterales; Lysobacteraceae.